AACGACGGCCACAGCGGUGGGGUACCUCCCGUACCCAUCCCGAACACGGACGAUAAGCCCACCAGCGUUUCGGCGAGUACUGGAGUGCGCGAGCCUCUGGGAACGUCGAUUCGCCGUCUCCA
This 122-nucleotide ribosomal RNA is filed under the name Haloarcula saliterrae. Lineage: Archaea; Methanobacteriati; Methanobacteriota; Halobacteria; Halobacteriales; Haloarculaceae. The record is from RNAcentral.